UACGGAGGGGGCAAGCGUUAUUCGGAAUUAUUGGGCGUAAAGAGCGUGUAGGCGGCUUUACAGGUCCGUUGUGAAAACUCGAGGCUCAACCUCGAGACGCCGGUGGAAACCGUAAGGCUAGAGUCCGGAAGAGGAGAGUGGAAUUCCUGGUGUAGCGGUGAAAUGCGCAGAUAUCAGGAAGAACACCCGUGGCGAAGGCGGCUCUCUGGGACGGUACUGACGCUGAGACGCGAAAGCGUGGGGAGCGAACAGG
RNAcentral lists this ribosomal RNA (253 nucleotides) under uncultured bacterium. RNAcentral describes it as "partial 16S ribosomal RNA". It matches the Rfam family "Bacterial small subunit ribosomal RNA", at positions 524 to 776 of the family's 1533-position model. The record is from RNAcentral.